This 107-nucleotide small nuclear RNA is filed under the name Phocoena sinus (vaquita). Lineage: Eukaryota; Metazoa; Chordata; Mammalia; Artiodactyla; Phocoenidae. RNAcentral also lists the same sequence under 1 other name. The record is from RNAcentral.
GUGCUGGCUUCGGCAGCACAUAUAAUAAAAUUGGAAUGAUACAGAGAAGAUUAGCAUGGCCCCUGCACAAGGAUGACACACAAAUUCGUGAAGCAUUCCAUAUUUUU